Mesorhizobium alhagi CCNWXJ12-2 is the source of this 70-nucleotide regulatory RNA element. It matches the Rfam family "ALIL pseudoknot". The record is from Rfam. Lineage: Bacteria; Pseudomonadati; Pseudomonadota; Alphaproteobacteria; Hyphomicrobiales; Phyllobacteriaceae.
CGCUUAUUUUGCCCAGGCGGAGCUCGACCGCCGGUUCAAGCCAUGAUCGCGUUCAUCGACGAUCGCCCCA